RNAcentral lists this long non-coding RNA (685 nucleotides) under Homo sapiens (human). Its description in RNAcentral is "HSALNT0233482". The record is from RNAcentral. Lineage: Eukaryota; Metazoa; Chordata; Mammalia; Primates; Hominidae.
CUGCACUCCAGCCUGGACGACAGAGCAAGACCUUGUCUCAAAAAAUCACAAUCUAGCGUGGAAUCUCUUUUCAAUAUUUCCUCGAUAUUCUGGAAUUACCUCUUUACAUGAGAGCCGAUAAAAUUGCACGUGGCCUAUGUUUUCCAUGAAAUGCAAUUGUUACAGAGCAACCCGAUGAAUUAUAACAUGGGUCAGGCCACAAUUCUCCAGCGUGCUCAGAGGAUCAGGCCAGCGGAGCUGCAAGCCAGACACACAACUCCACGGUGGUUCCGGCAAGGAAGUAAUUGUCCUGCCGUUUUGCGGCUCCUGCUCCACCUGGCUCAACCGCAGCCGUCAUAAAUCGCAGACUACAAAGCUGCAUGAUUUGAGAGCCAGCGCCAAAAACGCAAGUUUCAAAAAUUGAACCACUCACAGUUCCUCCUCUUCAUUUUGAGACAAUAAAUUUUGUGCUCACAUUAUCUUGUUAUAUAAUUGCCCGUUAAUAAAAACUAGGUAGUGAGAGCCAAAUAAAUAAAUGGCAUUUCACAAAAUCAUCUACACACACACACUCUCUCUCAAACACACACACACACACACACACACACUCACAUUUUCUAACUGCUUUGAAAAAGAAAUGGAGAAAAUGCUUGCAAGUAAAUAGGCAGGCAGGCAGCAAAAGAAAUUCUCAAAGGUAUUUCCAAACUUG